RNAcentral lists this ribosomal RNA (445 nucleotides) under uncultured bacterium. RNAcentral describes it as "SSU rRNA". It matches the Rfam family "Bacterial small subunit ribosomal RNA", at positions 26 to 518 of the family's 1533-position model. The record is from RNAcentral.
AGAACGAACGCUGGCGGCAUGCCUAACACAUGCAAGUCGAACGAGACCUUCGGGUCUAGUGGCGCACGGGUGCGUAACGCGUGGGAAUCUGCCCUUAGGUACGGAAUAACAGUGAGAAAUUACUGCUAAUACCGUAUGAUGUCUUCGGACCAAAGAUUUAUCGCCUAGGGAUGAGCCCGCGUUGGAUUAGCUAGUUGGUGGGGUAAAGGCCUACCAAGGCGACGAUCCAUAGCUGGUCUGAGAGGAUGAUCAGCCACACUGGGACUGAGACACGGCCCAGACUCCUACGGGAGGCAGCAGUGGGGAAUAUUGGACAAUGGGCGCAAGCCUGAUCCAGCCAUGCCGCGUGAGUGAUGAAGGCCCUAGGGUUGUAAAGCUCUUUCACCGGAGAAGAUAAUGACGGUAUCCGGAGAAGAAGCCCGGCUAACUUCGCGCCAGCAGCCGC